UCCCUGGUGGCUCAGUGGUAGAGCAUCUGCCUGCAAUGCAGGAGACCUGGAUUCGAUCCCUGGAUAGGGAC
Molecule: transfer RNA, 71 nt
Organism: Ovis aries (sheep)
Lineage: Eukaryota; Metazoa; Chordata; Mammalia; Artiodactyla; Bovidae
Rfam family: tRNA
About the family: Transfer RNA (tRNA) molecules are approximately 80 nucleotides in length. Their secondary structure includes four short double-helical elements and three loops (D, anti-codon, and T loops). Further hydrogen bonds mediate the characteristic L-shaped molecular structure. tRNAs have two regions of fundamental functional importance: the anti-codon, which is responsible for specific mRNA codon recognition, and the 3' end, to which the tRNAs corresponding amino acid is attached (by aminoacyl-tRNA synthetases). tRNAs cope with the degeneracy of the genetic code in two manners: having more than one tRNA (with a specific anti-codon) for a particular amino acid; and 'wobble' base-pairing, i.e. permitting non-standard base-pairing at the 3rd anti-codon position.
Source: Rfam